This 134-nucleotide small nucleolar RNA is filed under the name Citrus sinensis (sweet orange). RNAcentral describes it as "Small nucleolar RNA Z247". It matches the Rfam family "Small nucleolar RNA Z247". Rfam says of the family: Z247 is a member of the C/D class of snoRNA which contain the C (UGAUGA) and D (CUGA) box motifs. Most of the members of the box C/D family function in directing site-specific 2'-O-methylation of substrate RNAs. Lineage: Eukaryota; Viridiplantae; Streptophyta; Magnoliopsida; Sapindales; Rutaceae. The record is from Rfam by way of RNAcentral.
CCCUGUGAAUGAUUUGGAUCUAAUUACUCAUCUUAUCACUGGUCUAGAUCAGUCAUAUUAUCCUGUAGUUGUCUAUAUUGAGGCAAACAUGUUGAAUAUGGAUCUUAGUGAGGUUUAUGCUAUGCUUCUCACAC